UACGUAGGGGGCGAGCGUUGUCCGGAGUUACUGGGCGUAAAGCGCACGCAGGCGGUCUGCUAAGUUUGGAGUGACAGUUGGUGGCUUAACUGCCAAAGUGCUUCGAAAACUGACAGACUUGAGGGCUUCAGAGGGACACGGAAUUCCGGGUGGAGUGGCGAAAUGCGUAGAGAUCCGGAGGAACACCAAAGGCGAAGGCAGUGUCCUGGGGAGUACCUGACGCUCAGGUGCGAAAGCCAGGGGAGCGAACGGG
This 253-nucleotide ribosomal RNA is filed under the name uncultured bacterium. RNAcentral's name for it is "partial 16S ribosomal RNA". It matches the Rfam family "Bacterial small subunit ribosomal RNA", at positions 524 to 776 of the family's 1533-position model. The record is from RNAcentral.